GGUGGCGUACCCAAGUAGUAAGGGAGCGGUCUGCAAAACCGCCAUUCGCCGGUGCAAAUCCGGCCGCCACCU
Molecule: transfer RNA, 72 nt
Filed under: Elusimicrobia bacterium HGW-Elusimicrobia-1
Lineage: Bacteria; Pseudomonadati; Elusimicrobiota
Description: tRNA-Cys
Rfam family: tRNA
About the family: Transfer RNA (tRNA) molecules are approximately 80 nucleotides in length.
Source: RNAcentral